Molecule: ribosomal RNA, 253 nt
Filed under: uncultured bacterium
Lineage: Bacteria
Description: partial 16S ribosomal RNA
Rfam family: Bacterial small subunit ribosomal RNA
Source: RNAcentral
UACGUAGGGUGCGAGCGUUAAUCGGAAUUACUGGGCGUAAAGCGUGCGUAGGCGGUUCGCUGUGUCCGAUGUGAAAGCCCCGGGCUUAACCUGGGAAUGGCAUUGGAAACUGGCGGGCUUGAGUGCGGCAGAGGGGGGUGGAAUUCCAGGUGUAGCGGUGAAAUGCGUAGAUAUCUGGAGGAACACCGGUGGCGAAGGCGACAUCCUGGACCAACACUGACGCUGAGGAGCGAAAGCCAGGGGAGCAAACGGG